RNAcentral lists this small nucleolar RNA (148 nucleotides) under Vicugna pacos (alpaca). RNAcentral's name for it is "Small nucleolar RNA SNORA61 (ENSVPAG00000017738.1)". Lineage: Eukaryota; Metazoa; Chordata; Mammalia; Artiodactyla; Camelidae. The record is from RNAcentral.
AGCCUUGAGUUCUUAAAGCUUUUGUUCACAGAAGAUCACACCACACCCCUAGGAUCUUGGAGGCUGUAAAAGGAGGAACAGCAGCACUGAAGCUGUCCUCACCGCGCUUGUACCUGCUACACAGCAUGGGGGCUGGUUCCAAACAGGG